Macrobrachium nipponense is the source of this 750-nucleotide long non-coding RNA. RefSeq lists it as uncharacterized. The record is from RefSeq and is a predicted model, not a curated record. NCBI's taxonomy places the organism in Eukaryota, Metazoa, Arthropoda, Malacostraca, Decapoda, Palaemonidae. The transcript has 6 exons.
UUCGGUAGUAAAGUGUUCUCUCCGCUAUCAAUGGUGCUUCUAAGAUCCUGAUGUGUAAUCAAGAACAAUACAUCAUACACUUCAGCAAGAUUCAUCUAAGCAUACAGCAAUGAAACACUAGUGUUUGAAUGAUCAUAUCGUGAAACCUUGGCAACUACUGAUGAUCCACUUGCUCCUUUAGGACUUUAGGAGUGACUUUGAUAUAUCCAUCCACCACCUCACCUGCACGGUGCAAGGAUCAUAAUAGCUUUCGAAGGACCUUUUACACGUCACUAAUUUGUGAGUGGUCCUGAGAAUUGAAGGUAUAUUCAGGAGAAAAACCUCAUUUGGAAAUAGUAAUGCAGCCAAGCUCCUCGUCUGGGAAGUAGUUGAACCAGGAGAAGGAUAGAAAAGGUUACUAAUUGCUGUGUUGUGCCAGGCGAGUGUCACCAGUGCCACAGGAAUGCCUUUCUUGCGUCGGUUUUAGUUCCUACUCGGGUGAUAGACAGUACUCAGUGAGGCGUAUUCAAGCAACCGAACUGGUUCAUCUGUAUGAACGGUGAUAUCUUUACGGAAAAAGACUUUGCUCCACUUCAGUUUUCAAGAUAGGUAAAUAGGAAAGAUAGAAGUUAACGGUUUGAUGUUAGAAAUGACCCGAUUUCUAAAAGCUCUUCGAAGGUUUGCGCUUCCUGGGCUGGCAGAAACAAAGUUUUGACUCCCCAGCCGAAGGUGUCUGCAGUUAAGAGCGCUGGGCUUCUGAUACGAUCAUGG